GGGAAAUAACUGAAUGUAUGAUGCUCUGCCUGGUGGCACCCUACUUUAAUGAGAAUCUUAGCUAAGUUGGAAACUUUAAUAGAAAUAGAUAUAUCUUGUUAGUCAGCACUGCAUAAUCUAUUAUAACCUAAAAUGCAAACUCACUGUCUCAACUACUGCAUGUCAUGACUACUUAGACCAGCUGUUACUGUACAAAAUGUAUGUCUCUCACUUAAGCAUAGUCAGCCAUAACCAUGUCAAUGUCUAGAUAUGGAAGCGAUGACACGCGACAUAAAUAUUAACCCUAAGCUACUGUUACUAAUCGACAAUGUAAUUCAAAAAGACAGACGUAG
Molecule: non-coding RNA, 332 nt
Organism: Pelobates cultripes (western spadefoot toad)
Lineage: Eukaryota; Metazoa; Chordata; Amphibia; Anura; Pelobatidae
Source: the annotation of a GenBank genome assembly